CGGGUGAGUAACACGUGGAUAACCUACCUAUAAGACUGGGAUAACUUCAGGAAACCGGAGCUAAUACCGGAUAAUAUUUUAAACCGCAUGGUUCAAAAGUGAAAGACGGUCUUGCUGUCACUUAUAGAUGGAUCCGCGCUGCAUUAGCUAGUUGGUAAGGUAACGGCUUACCAAGGCAACGAUGCAUAGCCGACCUGAGAGGGUGAUCGGCCACACUGGAACUGAGACACGGUCCAG
This 237-nucleotide ribosomal RNA is filed under the name uncultured Staphylococcus sp. RNAcentral describes it as "partial 16S ribosomal RNA". It matches the Rfam family "Bacterial small subunit ribosomal RNA", at positions 103 to 334 of the family's 1533-position model. Lineage: Bacteria; Bacillati; Bacillota; Bacilli; Caryophanales; Staphylococcaceae. The record is from RNAcentral.